This 380-nucleotide ribosomal RNA is filed under the name uncultured bacterium. Its description in RNAcentral is "bacterial SSU rRNA". It matches the Rfam family "Bacterial small subunit ribosomal RNA", at positions 28 to 398 of the family's 1533-position model. The record is from RNAcentral.
GACGAACGCUGGCGGCGUGCUUAACACAUGCAAGUGGAGCGACGAACCAGGCUUCGGCCUGGGGCAAAGCCGCGAACGGGUGAGUAACACGUGGGUAACCUGCCCCGAUGACCGGGACAACUCGAGGAAACUCGGGCUAAUACCGGAUGUGCUCGUACUACAUCAGUGGUACGUGCAAAGGUAGCUUCGGCCUCCGCAUCGGGAUGGGCCCGCGGCCACUUAGCUUGUUGGUGAGGUAACGGCUCACCAAGGCUGCGAUGGGUAGCUGGUCUGAGAGGACGGAUCAGCCACACUGGGACGUGAGACACGGCCCACGACUCCUACGGGAGGCAGCAGUGGGGAAUCUUGCGCAAUGCGCGAAAGCGUGACGCAGCAACGCC